This 54-nucleotide ribosomal RNA is filed under the name Krameria erecta. Its description in RNAcentral is "partial 18S ribosomal RNA". It matches the Rfam family "Eukaryotic small subunit ribosomal RNA", at positions 1778 to 1831 of the family's 1831-position model. Lineage: Eukaryota; Viridiplantae; Streptophyta; Magnoliopsida; Zygophyllales; Krameriaceae. The record is from RNAcentral.
GGAAGGAGAAGUCGUAACAAGGUUUUCCGUAGGUGAACCUGCGAAGGAUCAUUG